UCUAUGGUUGGAAUUUUCAAACAUUAAAGUCCCAUUUGCCUCUUCCUAUUUAUUUAAACUCAACUCAACCAAAGCGUUGAAACUAGAGAAAACACACACACACACACUCACACCAAAUAUUAUGUCUAUAAAAUAGCCACAAGUUGAAGAUAUUAAUGAGCCAAGAAGAAUUCAGAAGUCAUUGCAAUGUUCAAUCCACCACAACUAAUUUUUUGGUAAUUCAUGUUAUGCACUAUCACUAGCCACAUUAUAUUUAUGGAUUGUCGGUCGAUACUCCUCGAAUAUAUGUGGCUCCGUUACUGCCUGCCAGCAAUGCACAAUUCUAGAACAAUGUCUAUACCCUCAUUUAAUUUCAUUCUUUUUUCUUAAAUUGGGUACCAAGUUAAAUUUAUGUCACAUAUUUGUUUUUAAAAUAAUAUAUAAAGAAAUAUUAAAGUAAUGCGUAAUAAUAGUUCGUUUGAUGGAGAAAGAUCAUACUAAAUUUUUUGUUAAUAAGAAAGUUAAUGAAAAUAUGAACCUUAAUUAAAAGCUGUGUAUAAAGUAAUUAUCUCUCUCCAUUUUUUUAAACAAAAAAUCAAUUUAAACCUUGCCUUCAUUGAUCUUGUGGUGCAAAAAGUUACAAGUUGCGUCUCUCCAUUUAGAGGAUCAUACAUUUUUUUGACAACGAUAUAUUAAUAUUUUGUGAUUUUUUUCAAAUAUAUUAAAUUUUUAAUUAUGCUGAUUCAUAUAAUGCUUUUUUAAAUUAUAUAAAAUUGUAUUUUUAGAAACCUUAAGAAAAAGAAUAUGUCCAAACUUAAAUCAAAUAUAAGAUGUACAUACUCCACAUUCGGAGGCAACAUAUAGUGUGUGGCUCAUUCGAACCUUCUUUGACGAAAAAUAAAAUUAUUUUUUAAAUAUA
This is a long non-coding RNA of Solanum pennellii, 898 nucleotides long. RefSeq lists it as uncharacterized. The record is from RefSeq and is a predicted model, not a curated record. Lineage: Eukaryota; Viridiplantae; Streptophyta; Magnoliopsida; Solanales; Solanaceae. The transcript is spliced from 2 exons.